This 72-nucleotide transfer RNA is filed under the name Camelus bactrianus (Bactrian camel). It matches the Rfam family "tRNA". Rfam says of the family: Transfer RNA (tRNA) molecules are approximately 80 nucleotides in length. Their secondary structure includes four short double-helical elements and three loops (D, anti-codon, and T loops). The record is from Rfam by way of RNAcentral. RNAcentral also lists the same sequence under 1 other name. Lineage: Eukaryota; Metazoa; Chordata; Mammalia; Artiodactyla; Camelidae.
GAGGGUUUAGGUCAGUGGUAGAAUGCAUGCUUAGCAAGCAUGGGGUCCUGGGUUCAAUUCCCAGUAUCUCCA